CCCCUUAUUUUUGCAAGUCGUCCGGAAAGGCCCCGCAAGGGGUACUCGAGCGGCGAACGGGAUAGUAACGCGUAGGUCACCCACCCCUGGGACGGGGAUAGCUGGGGGAAACUCCAAUUAAUACCCGAUAACAUCUUCGGAUCAAAGGUGUGAUUCCGCCUGGGGACGGGCCUGCGUCUUAUCAGCUUGUUGGUGAGGUAACGGCUCACCAAGGCUAGGACGAGUAGCGGGUGUGAGAGCACGACCCGCAUCACUGGGACUGAGACACUGCCCAGACACCUACGGGUGGCUGCAGUCGAGAAUCUUCGUCAAUGGUCGAAAGACUGAACGAGCGACGCCGCGUGCGGGAUGAAGGCCUUCGGGUUGUAAACCGCUGUCAGUGGGAAUGAAAUACUAGGGGGAUCACCUCUUAGUUUGACAGACCCGCAGAGGAAGGACGGGCUAAGUUCGUGCCAGCAGCCGCGGUAUACGAACCGUCCAACGUUAUUCGGAAUCACUGGGCUUAAGGGUGCGUAGGCGGUUGGUAGUUGGGUGUGAACUCCCCG
RNAcentral lists this ribosomal RNA (545 nucleotides) under uncultured bacterium. RNAcentral's name for it is "bacterial SSU rRNA". It matches the Rfam family "Bacterial small subunit ribosomal RNA", at positions 45 to 605 of the family's 1533-position model. The record is from RNAcentral.